ACAAUGUCAUCAGCGUAAUGAGGAGUAAACAUUUAUGCUAAUAAUCUACAAUUUUUUUCCCCAUCGGCUAUAAAGAGGGGAAAUAAAGCUGAGAAUUUCAGUCAUAUUCGGAACUCCGAGGAUAUAGCUUGGACUGAGGCAUUUAGCGGGAUUUACGCGUCGAUCUAGUGUCUGUUUCUGCAGGAUGCUCCUGCUCAUCUGCCUGCAAGUGGAUCCAGAGAAAGGGGCUUCAGUUCCCUUAUGAAAGACAAUCAGCUCCUGGGUCAAGUUCAGGAAAUCCAAACUGGUCUUUGUUUUUGGUCUGUAAAUGAAAGAGAAACCUCAAGAAUGACGUUUUUUGUGAAUUGUUUACUGUUAAAAUGUGUGUAAAUAAUAAUAGAGAAAGAAGGGGAAGAGUUUUGAUUAUUAGCACAGAAAAGCUUGGAAGUUUCUAAUUCUUUUUUCCAUCCCAGAGUUCAGAGCCUCUUUCUCCUCAGAAAGCAGGGCGCGCUUUGAGGAAAAGCCCCCGGUGAACUGGUAGAGAUGCUGUCCCCAUUACAGCAGCAGCAGGGGUCAGGCCAAGGCGUCCAGCAUCCAAGCUGCCCAAAAUUGGCGGUAAAAUGACCAAUUACCUGAGUGAAGGCUGGGUAGAAAGGACCUAGAAAAAAAUGUGGCUUUUACUUAAUUCAGCUAAACUGUAAAAGAAACUAGAGUCUCCCUGAUGCCUCACGCUCAAUCCACGUUACAGCAUUCCACCUGUUACACGAAAAAGUCUUACUUUAUCCAAAUACGAAUUCCCAGAAUAUUAAUAAGUCUGGUUUUGAUUAUGUAAGGGUUUGAUAACAGGAAUAAUAUAAGGUGGCAAAUUAUUUCACCAAAACAAUGGCUGAUUAAACAUCUUUACAUGUAGGUUUUAUUGAAUUAAUUUCCCUACAAAUGGAAAACAUGCAAAUUUGCCAAUUAAGUCAUUUGCCCAUGGAGAGCCGGGCUGCUUGACGUUCAGCUGCCACGGCUCCUUUAGUCUGAAAACCCUUUUUAGUUUUUGUUAAGAGUUAAGUCUCCAACAAAGACAGGAAGGAGGUCAGCACUCAGCCAACACCUGAAUGCGCCUCUUUUUUUGUGCUCCCCUUGAUCCCCACAGUCUGUGCCUGUCAUUAGUCUUAAUGAUGGAAAAUUGUCAUGUUGAUACAAGUCUUGCUCUCCCCCUCUCUUCUUUGUAUAAGUAGAAGGUGGAAGCUCCAUUUGUAACAAAGUUCUUUGUGACUAAAAGCCGUGGACAUUGCAUUUGUGCCGGGGGAGAAAAAAGGCUUUAGAUGCUCUUUCCAUAGCUGGGAUAAUUAUUCCUACUGUGACCUUAAUGAUUCACUCUGUUCAUCCUGCAUCUCAUCCACGCGCCAGGCCCUCAGCGGAGCCCUGUGUCAGGGAAUAUGAAAAACCCAUAUAAUGAAACCAUUUUGGUUGAUGGAAAAAAGGGGCUACUGAAGCCGCACUUGCUACAAAGACGGCUCAAUUAUAUGAGUAAUUGUGAUAAUUUCCCCUCCAUUCACGGCUUUCUCUGAAAGGUAAAAAACACAGAUGCUGAAAGGGAAAUUACUUGGACAAUAUAUAAUCUGUGAAAUGGUCACAACAGAAAAAAAAAGAUGACUGUAAGAAAGUGAAGGAUUAUAAAUAGGCAUGUUAAUGCAGGGCACAUAAAUACACCCUCACAAGCUCGCACACGUAAACAAACAGCACUGCUCUGCACAAGGCAAAAAACUGACCAAAAAAAAAACCCAGAUAAGAGUAGAUGUGCAGCUGCCAGAAAAUUAAACCUCCUUCUCCUUCCUAUCAACAAAUUUCAGCUCCUGAAACUGCACCCCCAUAGUUGACUAUCAUUUGUUAUUCCCUGACAGGAAAAGGAUAAUUACCUCUCUAAGAGGCAGGAGGACUGACAUGCCCUUUAGACUUUGCCAUGAAUGCAGAGGCUUUGAUAGAAAGCUUGAGGAAUAAUUUUGUUCUUUGCCUUUCCUUUAUGUUCAAGAGCACAUUUUUAUUUGUGGGGGUGACAGAACAGUGAGUGCAUUAAAGCCAGAGGCUUAAUACUGUACGCUUCACACCCUUGUUUCUGUUGGCAUUGAUUUUUAGAGGGAAAAUCUUGUACAUUCAGUUAGAUUUUAUAAUAAUCUUGAGAUGAGAUCAUAAGAAAUGAUGUACGCUUUGGUUUCAGGGUGCAUAUUGAUUUAAACUUUAAGGAAAAAAGCCGUUUUCCUCAAUUUUGUGCAUGAAAAUAUAAUUUUUUUACAGGUUUUUAAGAGUUUGAAUAAAUAUAAACACAGAU
Non-coding RNA from Oryzias latipes (Japanese medaka), 2296 nucleotides. Lineage: Eukaryota; Metazoa; Chordata; Actinopteri; Beloniformes; Adrianichthyidae. The record is from RefSeq and is a predicted model, not a curated record.